This 465-nucleotide ribosomal RNA is filed under the name Vreelandella stevensii. RNAcentral describes it as "partial 16S ribosomal RNA". It matches the Rfam family "Bacterial small subunit ribosomal RNA", at positions 338 to 795 of the family's 1533-position model. The record is from RNAcentral. Lineage: Bacteria; Pseudomonadati; Pseudomonadota; Gammaproteobacteria; Oceanospirillales; Halomonadaceae.
CCUACGGGGGGCAGCAGUGGGGAAUAUUGGACAAUGGGGGCAACCCUGAUCCAGCCAUGCCGCGUGUGUGAAGAAGGCCCUCGGGUUGUAAAGCACUUUCAGUGAGGAAGAACGCCUGGUGGUUAAUACCCAUCAGGAAAGACAUCACUCACAGAAGAAGCACCGGCUAACUCCGUGCCAGCAGCCGCGGUAAUACGGAGGGUGCGAGCGUUAAUCGGAAUUACUGGGCGUAAAGCGCGCGUAGGUGGCUUGAUAAGCCGGUUGUGAAAGCCCCGAGCUCAACCUGGGAACGGCAUCCGGAACUGUCAAGCUAGAGUGCAGGAGAGGAAGGUAGAAUUCCCGGUGUAGCGGUGAAAUGCGUAGAGAUCGGGAGGAAUACCAGUGGCGAAGGCGGCCUUCUGGACUGACACUGACACUGAGGUGCGAAAGCGUGGGUAGCAAACAGGAUUAGAUACCCUAGUAGUC